UGGGGAAUCUUGGACAAUGGGCGCAAGCCUGAUCCAGCCAUGCCGCGUGGGUGAAGAAGGCCUUCGGGUUGUAAAGCUCUUUUACCAGGGACGAUAAUGACGGUACCUGGAGAAUAAGCCCCGGCAAACUUCGUGCCAGCAGCCGCGGUAAUACGAAGGGGGCUAGCGUUGUUCGGAAUUACUGGGCGUAAAGCGCACGUAGGCGGAUUGUUAAGUCAGAGGUGAAAUCCCGGAGCUCAACUUCGGAACUGCCUUUGAUACUGGCAAUCUAGAGUCCGGAAGAGGUUAGUGGAAUUCCCAGUGUAGAGGUGAAAUUCGUAGAUAUUGGGAAGAACACCAGUGGCGAAGGCGGCUAACUGGUCCGGUACUGACGCUGAGGUGCGAAAGCGUGGGGAGCAAACAGGAUUAGAUACCCCAGUAGUCCCUGAGCGGGCUGGCAAGGCGCAU
Molecule: ribosomal RNA, 447 nt
Filed under: uncultured bacterium
Lineage: Bacteria
Description: bacterial SSU rRNA
Rfam family: Bacterial small subunit ribosomal RNA
Source: RNAcentral